Molecule: ribosomal RNA, 253 nt
Filed under: uncultured bacterium
Lineage: Bacteria
Description: partial 16S ribosomal RNA
Rfam family: Bacterial small subunit ribosomal RNA
Source: RNAcentral
UACGUAGGGGGCAAGCGUUGUCCGGAUUUAUUGGGCGUAGAGAGCGUGUAGGCGGCCGUACAGGUCAGCUGUGAAAACUCGAGGCUCAACCUCGAGACGUCGGUUGAAACCGUACGGCUAGAGUCCGGAAGAGGAGAGUGGAAUUCCACGUGUAGCAGUGAAAUGCGUAGAGAUGUGGAGGAACACCGAUGGCGAAGGCAGCCCCCUGGGCUAACACUGACGCUCAUGCACGAAAGCGUGGGGAGCAAACAGG